RNAcentral lists this ribosomal RNA (385 nucleotides) under Telonemia sp. RNAcentral describes it as "partial small subunit ribosomal RNA". It matches the Rfam family "Eukaryotic small subunit ribosomal RNA", at positions 582 to 975 of the family's 1831-position model. The record is from RNAcentral. Lineage: Eukaryota; Telonemia.
AUUCCAGCUCCAAUAGCGUAUAUUAAAGUUGUUGCAGUUAAAAAGCUCGUAGUUGGAGUUCAGAUUGAGCUCGGCCGGUCGGCCUAAUUGGUCAGAACUGGUUGACUCUGUCUUGUUUGUGGAUCCCUCCGGAGUUAACUCUUCGGAUGUGGAGUCCACAUCGUUUACCUUGAAAAAAUUAGAGUGUUCAAAGCAGGCGUUUGCUUGAAUAUAUUAGCAUGGAAUAAUGGAAUAGGACGCUGGUUCUAUUUUGUUGGUUUUGAGAACCAGAGUAAUGAUUAAUAGGGACAGUUGGGGGCAUUCAUAUUUCAUUGUCAGAGGUGAAAUUCUUGGAUUUACGAAAGAUGAACUUCUGCGAAAGCAUUUGCCAAGGAUGUUUUCAUCA